RNAcentral lists this ribosomal RNA (253 nucleotides) under uncultured bacterium. RNAcentral describes it as "partial 16S ribosomal RNA". It matches the Rfam family "Bacterial small subunit ribosomal RNA", at positions 524 to 776 of the family's 1533-position model. The record is from RNAcentral.
UACGUAGGUGGCAAGCGUUGUCCGGAUUUACUGGGCGUAAAGAGCGCGCAGGCGGCCAAGUCAGUCGAAUGUGAAAGCCCCCGGCUCAACUGGGGAGGGCCAUUCGAUACUGCUCGGCUCGAAGACAGGAGAGGGAAGUGGAAUUCCCGGUGUAGUGGUGAAAUGCGUGGAUAUCGGGAGGAACACCAGUGGCGAAGGCGACUUUCUGGCCUGUUCUUGACGCUGAGGCGCGAAAGCUAGGGGAGCAAACGGG